AGUUUUAUAGUUUAAAAAAAAUUUUAAAUUGCAAGUUUGAAGAUUUUAGUUAUAAAUAAAACUU
Molecule: transfer RNA, 64 nt
Filed under: Leptopilina boulardi
Lineage: Eukaryota; Metazoa; Arthropoda; Insecta; Hymenoptera; Figitidae
Description: tRNA-Cys
Source: RNAcentral